Molecule: non-coding RNA, 392 nt
Organism: Danio rerio (zebrafish)
Lineage: Eukaryota; Metazoa; Chordata; Actinopteri; Cypriniformes; Danionidae
Source: RefSeq, a predicted model, not a curated record
ACAGGCGUGGGAAACUCUACUGCUCUCGCGACAACUGGAAAACUCUCACCAUACGGCUGCGUGGAGCGAGGCUCGUGUCAUCGCGAGAUCGGCGCGGAGGCUGCACGGAUGGAUGUUUUACAGUGCCGAAACACUGUUUAUCCGCUCAUAAAUAACCUCCACGGGCGGAAUUGGCAAGUUAUUUUGACGUGGAAAAUUGAGAUUUCCCAGGCUCCGGUCUGAUAAGGUCCCAAGUGGUUAUUUUCAAUGAAAGAGACCCAUCUCAGGAGCUCAAUGAAGCAGCAUGUGCCGCCAAUUCAAGCAAUCACGACUAAACCACAAGUGUGCCGCACGUAAAUCCAGUGUUGAUGACUGCCUGUGCAUUUUGCCAAGAGAAAGACUGGUCUCCAAAG